AGUGAACGCUGGCGGUAGGCCUAACACAUGCAAGUCGAACGGCAGCACAGUAAGAGCUUGCUCUUACGGGUGGCGAGUGGCGGACGGGUGAGGAAUACAUCGGAAUCUACUUUUUCGUGGGGGAUAACGUAGGGAAACUUACGCUAAUACCGCAUACGACCUACGGGUGAAAGCAGGGGAUCUUCGGACCUUGCGCGAUAGAAUGAGCCGAUGUCGGAUUAGCUAGUUGGCGGGGUAAAGGCCCACCAAGGCGACGAUCCGUAGCUGGUCUGAGAGGAUGAUCAGCCACACUGGAACUGAGACACGGUCCAGACUCCUACGGGAGGCAGCAGUGGGGAAUAUUGGACAAUGGGCGCAAGCCUGAUCCAGCCAUACCGCGUGGGUGAAGAAGGCCUUCGGGUUGUAAAGCCCUUUUGUUGGGAAAGAAAAGCAGCAGGUUAAUACCCCGCUGUUCUGACGGUACCCAAAGAAUAAGCGCCGGCUAACUUCGUG
This 492-nucleotide ribosomal RNA is filed under the name uncultured bacterium. Its description in RNAcentral is "partial 16S ribosomal RNA". It matches the Rfam family "Bacterial small subunit ribosomal RNA", at positions 29 to 507 of the family's 1533-position model. The record is from RNAcentral.